RNAcentral lists this transfer RNA (84 nucleotides) under Microbispora amethystogenes. Its description in RNAcentral is "tRNA-Trp". The record is from RNAcentral. Lineage: Bacteria; Bacillati; Actinomycetota; Actinomycetes; Streptosporangiales; Streptosporangiaceae.
GUCGCCGAAGUCCUCGGUGAGGACCGGGCCGCUCCACCCGGCCGCCCUGCCGUCGCCGGCGCUCCGGCUCCCCGUGGCGGUCCC